This 4057-nucleotide ribosomal RNA is filed under the name Triticum aestivum (bread wheat). Its description in RNAcentral is "partial small subunit ribosomal RNA". The record is from RNAcentral. Lineage: Eukaryota; Viridiplantae; Streptophyta; Magnoliopsida; Poales; Poaceae.
GAACCAGAUCGGCGGAGCGCCCCCAAUUCCUCACUUCCUGCUUCCGCCCCUCCCCCCAUCUCCCCUCUCCCCCUCGCGAGAGGCGGAGAGCCGACACACCCACCCCAUCCCCGAGCGCCGCUAGGGUUGCGGCUCGCUCCGGCGAUGGAGGACGACGAAUACGAGGAGGGGAUGGAGAUGGAUAUGGGAGGGCACCAGCACCUCCAGCACCGGGGGUACGGAGCUGAGGAGGAGGUUGAGGGGGGAUACGCCGGCGGCGGGGACGGGGAGGAUGAGGAGGAGGAGGCGCGGGACGAGGAGGAGAUUACCCAGGAGGACGCCUGGGCCGUCAUCUCCGCCUACUUCGAGGAGAAGGGCCUCGUGCGCCAGCAGCUCGACUCCUUCGACGAGUUCAUCCAGAACACCAUGCAGGAGAUCGUCGACGAGUCGGCCGACAUCGAGAUCCGCCCCGAGUCGCAGCACAACCCCGGCCGCCAGGCCGAGUUCGCCGAGGUUCCAAUCAUGCUGCGUUCUAGUUACUGCACACUGUUUCAACAAUCUGAAAAGGAUCUCACAGAACUUGGAGAGUGCCCUUAUGACCAAGGAGGAUAUUUUGUAAUCAACGGUAGUGAAAAGGUUCUCAUUGCCCAGGAGAAGAUGAGCACUAACCAUGUCUAUGUGUUUAAGAAGAGGCAACCAAAUAAGUUUGCAUAUGUGGGUGAAGUCCGUUCAAUGGCAGAGAACCAGAACAGACCUGCUAGUAGCAUGUUUGUUCGGAUGCUUUCCCGAGCAGGCGCGAAAGGGGGUUCAUCUGGUCAAUAUAUCCGUGCUACUCUGCCCUACAUUCGUGCAGAUAUUCCCAUCAUCAUUGUGUUUAGAGCACUAGGAUUUGUUGCUGACAAAGAUAUACUGGAGCACAUAUGCUACGAUUUCUCCGAUACACAAAUGAUGGAAUUGCUGCGCCCAUCUUUGGAGGAAGCUUUUGUCAUUCAAAAUCAGCAGGUUGCUCUGGACUACAUUGGAAAGCGUGGUGCUACAGUUGGUGUAACUCGAGAAAAAAGAAUAAAGUAUGCGAAAGAGAUACUUCAAAAGGAAAUGCUGCCCCAUGUUGGUGUAGGCGAAUUCUGUGAAACUAAAAAGGCAUACUACUUUGGGUAUAUUAUUCACCGCCUGUUGAUGUGUGCUCUUGGUCGAAGAGCUGAAGAUGACAGAGAUCAUUACGGCAACAAAAGGCUCGACCUUGCAGGUCCAUUGCUUGGAGGACUGUUCAGAAUGCUUUUCAGGAAAUUGACGAGGGAUGUGAGGUCAUAUGUUCAGAAGUGUGUCGAUAAUGGGAAGGAAGUUAAUUUGCAAUUUGCUAUUAAAGCUAAAACCAUUACUAGUGGCUUGAAGUAUUCCCUUGCUACUGGAAACUGGGGACAGGCUAACCAAGCUGGUACAAGAGCCGGUGUGUCUCAGGUGCUUAAUCGCCUUACGUAUGCUUCUACAUUAUCACAUCUUCGGAGGUUGAACUCUCCCAUUGGGCGUGAAGGGAAACUGGCAAAACCUCGCCAAUUGCAUAAUUCUCAUUGGGGAAUGAUGUGCCCUGCUGAAACACCUGAAGGACAGGCUUGUGGCUUGGUUAAAAAUCUUGCCUUGAUGGUUUAUAUCACUGUUGGUUCUGCCGCAAAUCCUAUUUUGGAAUUUUUGGAAGAGUGGGGCACAGAAAAUUUUGAGGAGAUAUCACCGGCAGUCAUUCCUCAAGCUGCUAAAAUAUUUGUCAAUGGUUGUUGGGUUGGAAUUCAUAGGAAUCCUGACCUAUUGGUGAAGACCCUUCGUCGUUUAAGAAGACAGAUUGAUGUCAACACUGAAGUUGGUGUCGUUCGUGAUAUUCGUCUGAAAGAACUUCGACUCUAUACUGAUUAUGGGCGUUGCAGUCGCCCACUGUUUAUCGUUGAAAACCAGAGGCUUCUAAUUAAGAAGAAACAUAUCCGAGCAUUGCAGCAAAGGGAGACUCCUGAUGAAGGUUGGCAUGACUUGGUUGCCAAAGGAUUUAUAGAGUACAUAGACACUGAAGAGGAAGAAACUACUAUGAUCUCUAUGACUAUACGUGACCUUGAAACUUCGAGGCAUAAUCCAGGGGAGGCAUAUUCUGAGACUUAUACACACUGUGAGAUCCACCCUUCAUUGAUACUUGGUGUGUGUGCGUCAAUUAUUCCUUUUCCUGAUCACAACCAGUCACCUCGUAAUACAUAUCAGUCUGCUAUGGGAAAGCAAGCCAUGGGAAUCUAUGUUACCAACUAUCAGUUAAGAAUGGACACAUUGGCCUACGUUCUGUACUACCCACAAAAGCCUCUUGUUACUACUCGUGCUAUGGAACAUUUGCACUUCAGGCAGUUACCAGCUGGCAUUAAUGCAAUUGUUGCUAUUGCAUGCUACUCUGGAUAUAACCAAGAAGAUUCGGUUAUUAUGAACCAAUCUUCAAUAGAUCGUGGGUUCUUCAGAUCACUAUUUUUCCGCUCUUACAGAGAUGAGGAAAAGAAGAUGGGAACUCUUGUCAAAGAGGAAUUUGGUCGACCAAAUAGGGAGAACACUAUGGGAAUGCGCCAUGGGUCUUACGAUAAAUUAGAUGAUGAUGGCCUUGCACCACCGGGAACAAGGGUCUCUGGGGAAGAUGUCAUUAUUGGGAAGACAUCUCCAAUUCCACAAGAUGAUGCUCAAGGGCAAGCUACUAGAUAUUCAAAGCGUGAUCAUAGUACUUCUCUGCGUCACAGUGAAAGUGGGAUGGUGGAUCAGGUUCUGUUGACAACGAAUGCUGAUGGUUUAAGAUUUGUCAAGGUUAGAAUGCGAUCAGUGCGCAUACCACAAAUAGGAGAUAAGUUCAGCAGUAGGCAUGGUCAGAAGGGAACUGUUGGAAUGACUUACACACAAGAGGACAUGCCAUGGACAAUCGAAGGCAUCACACCGGAUAUCAUUGUGAAUCCACAUGCUAUUCCAUCCCGUAUGACUAUUGGCCAGCUGAUUGAGUGUAUUAUGGGUAAAGUCGCGGCUCACAUGGGAAAGGAAGGAGAUGCAACUCCUUUCACUGAUGUUACGGUGGAUAACAUCAGUAAAGCACUGCACAAGUGUGGCUAUCAGAUGCGUGGAUUUGAGACCAUGUACAAUGGUCAUACUGGGAGAAAAUUGACUGCAAUGAUUUUCUUAGGUCCAACUUACUACCAGAGACUUAAGCAUAUGGUGGAUGACAAAAUUCACUCUAGAGGUCGUGGUCCUGUCCAGAUACUGACCAGACAGCCAGCAGAGGGGCGCUCACGUGAUGGUGGUCUCCGUUUUGGAGAAAUGGAGAGGGAUUGCAUGAUUGCUCAUGGAGCUGCUUUUUUCUUGAAGGAAAGGUUAUUUGACCAGAGCGAUGCUUACAGAGUGCAUGUUUGUGAGAAGUGUGGACUCAUUGCCAUUGCCAAUCUCAAGAAGAAUUCCUUCGAAUGCAGAGGCUGCAAGAACAAAACUGACAUUGUCCAGGUUCAUAUACCGUACGCAUGUAAGCUCCUCUUCCAGGAGCUCAUGGCGAUGGCGAUUGCUCCCAGGAUGCUCACCCAUGAGGUCAAGGGUGCGAGGGAUAAGCAUCGUUGAGCUUGAGUGUUGUAUUCGGGUGCCUGACUUGGAGCUGUUUUCCGGGUGUCUUGUUGUGGAACUUAAGAAUGAGUAUAGCUCUUCUGAUAUGGAUUUUGGUUCUGACGGCUAGGCAUUUUGAAGAGCUAUCCUUCUGAUUGUGUUCUGGAUAUGUCAGACGCCAGACAUGAAGUUACUUAGUCUUGGCUUUUAAGAGUUCAACUCAAACGAUGUUUGUGUGAAGACAAUUGCAUGAAUUUCUGGGUCGAGGCAUGAGUAGCCUUCGGUGUUGGGUCAUAUUGAGUAGAAACUCAUGGUCAAAUUGUCAACUUAAUAGCCAAUGUUAAGAGAGAUCGAGUUUGAGUCUACCGAGCAGAUUGAAGAAUCUGCCUUCUGUUGUUUGUAAGUCGUAUAAAACGAGUUCACUGUAGCUGACCGUUCCUCAGUUUUGUGCGCCAAAGGAUAUUUUUGUCAUAUGAAGGAGUUACCA